UACAAUAAUCAGCCUGCCCAUACAUUUUCUAUCUUGUCAGUAUAGCUUCUUUCUGAAAAUACAACCUCCUCAACAUAUAUUAACAUUCAGUUCUUGACAGGGUAAUAAGGGUCUGGUCAAAUUAAAGAAGCGCCCAUUUCAUUUAUCUACAAUACAACUAUUUUCACAGACCUUCUUCCUGCAACAGAGAAACUUCUCCACACACAUCACCAACUUCAGUGGAAUUCUUGACCUCCAUGGAAGAAAACAAGACAAUGGCCCACGCUCAAGCGCUUUGCAUUUAACACACCCACACGCCCCAUCAGUAAGUAAACAAGCGGUUCCUACCAGAUCUGCUCCUGAUGAUAUCACCGAACUCGUCCGCCGCAGACUCUUCGCUGGGGUUCUCGGGACGUCCUGCUUCAGCCAUAGCAAACAAACCCUCAGCCACACACAGAGCCUCUCUCAGAUCUGACUCCGCACCCGGAGGCGCCUUUUAAGCCAGAAGAAACACAAAGUUUAAAAGGAGGGGUGGGGUUUUUUGUGGUUCUGGAAGAGGGGCAGGGAGUCAGCCUGGCUCCCCCAGCCACAGCGAGGAGCAAAGGAAAGGGGAACAGACAGACAAUAAACCAAGGCAAAGAUCACACUGGAGGAGAGCUGUCAAACUCUGCUCCCCGGACAGCAGAGAACAGGUGCCGAGCCAUGCGCGUCUGCCUUAAAAUAGAGCCAGCGGCUCCAGCAAGGUGAAAGAGGAGGAGCUGCUGCCAUUGCCACAUUCAGGUUCUCCCCCUCCACACCCAUGGAGCGCGUGAGUCAGAUAAGGAGGAGAAAGAAGACGACUUGGGAUGAUGUGUUCCAGGAGAUGCUGCAAGUCUGUGCUGUGUCAACAAAGAAACCAGGCCCUGGAGGGUGACCCUUGAAGACAGCCGGGGGAAGGAAAGAGUGGAGAGGAGAAAGGCCCAGGAGUCCCAGCCGGAAAAGAAACAGGAGAUUCACUAAGACAAUGGGGUUUCUCAGGCCAUGAGCAGAUACUACAAACUGUGGUGGACCUACAGCUUCAACAAUCCUGAGUUUGCCUCCUUUUGCAGCCGAUUGAGAACUCACUAUUUGGGUAUUCCUAUACACCUCAACAGUGCAUGUAGCAUUAGGUGUCACUGCACUACCACUAUCACUCCACCCCAAGGGACAUCAAAGAAAAUCACAGUUUCACAUAUAUCCGCCAUGGCUUUUGUAUGUCAGUGUAUGUGUAGCUGAAAUGAAGAUGAAUGUUCUUUUCCCUUAAUAAAUUAAGAGAACAGAAUUUAUGAAGUCUUAUUAAGUAUUUAAUGUGUUUGUUGUAAAAGUACAUAGGUUUUUUUAUUUUGCACUGAUUUUGUUACGAAUAAAAUUC
This is a long non-coding RNA of Chelonia mydas (Green sea turtle), 1369 nucleotides long. RefSeq lists it as uncharacterized. The transcript is spliced from 3 exons. NCBI's taxonomy places the organism in Eukaryota, Metazoa, Chordata, Testudines, Cheloniidae. The record is from RefSeq and is a predicted model, not a curated record.